This 75-nucleotide transfer RNA is filed under the name Candidatus Woesearchaeota archaeon. RNAcentral's name for it is "tRNA-Arg". It matches the Rfam family "tRNA". Rfam says of the family: Transfer RNA (tRNA) molecules are approximately 80 nucleotides in length. Their secondary structure includes four short double-helical elements and three loops (D, anti-codon, and T loops). Further hydrogen bonds mediate the characteristic L-shaped molecular structure. tRNAs have two regions of fundamental functional importance: the anti-codon, which is responsible for specific mRNA codon recognition, and the 3' end, to which the tRNAs corresponding amino acid is attached (by aminoacyl-tRNA synthetases). tRNAs cope with the degeneracy of the genetic code in two manners: having more than one tRNA (with a specific anti-codon) for a particular amino acid; and 'wobble' base-pairing, i.e. permitting non-standard base-pairing at the 3rd anti-codon position. Lineage: Archaea; Nanobdellati; Candidatus Woesearchaeota. The record is from RNAcentral.
GCCCGUGUUGCAUAGCUUGGAUAGUGCGUCAGGUUGCGGACCUGAAGGCCCGGGGUUCAAAUCCUCGCACGGGCG